This 253-nucleotide ribosomal RNA is filed under the name uncultured bacterium. RNAcentral's name for it is "partial 16S ribosomal RNA". It matches the Rfam family "Bacterial small subunit ribosomal RNA", at positions 524 to 776 of the family's 1533-position model. The record is from RNAcentral.
UACGUAGGGUGCGAGCGUUAAUCGGAAUUACUGGGCGUAAAGCGUGCGCAGGCGGUUUUGUAAGCCAGAUGUGAAAUCCCCGGGCUUAACCUGGGAAUGGCAUUUGGGACUGCAAGGCUUGAGUGUGGCAGAGGAGACUGGAAUUCCUGGUGUAGCAGUGAAAUGCGUAGAUAUCAGGAGGAACACCGAUGGCGAAGGCAGCCCCCUGGGCUGACACUGACGCUCAGGCACGAAAGCGUGGGGAGCAAACAGG